This 253-nucleotide ribosomal RNA is filed under the name uncultured bacterium. RNAcentral describes it as "partial 16S ribosomal RNA". It matches the Rfam family "Bacterial small subunit ribosomal RNA", at positions 524 to 776 of the family's 1533-position model. The record is from RNAcentral.
UACGGGGGGGGCAAGCGUUGUUCGGAAUUACUGGGCGUAAAGGGCUCGUAGGCGGCCAACUAAGUCGGACGUGAAAUCCCCAGGCUCAACCUGGGAACUGCGUCCGAUACUGGAUGGCUUGAAUCCGGGAGAGGGAUGCAGAAUUCCAGGUGUAGCGGUGAAAUGCGUAGAUAUCGGGAGGAACACCAGUGGCGAAGGCGGCUUUCUGGCCUGUUCUUGACGCUGAGGCGCGAAAGCUAGGGUAGCAAACGGG